GUGCCUAACACAUGCAAGUCGAACGAGAAAGCGGGGGCAACUCCGUGAGUAAAGUGGCGACCGGGUGAGUAACACGUGACUAACCUGCCCUUGAGUGGGGGAUAACUUCGGGAAACCGGGGCUAAUACCGCAUAAUUUCAUGAGGUGAAAAUCCUUAUGAUCAAAGGAGCAAUUCGCUGAAGGAGGGGGUCGCGGCUGAUUAGCUAGUUGGUGAGGUAACGGCCCACCAAGGCGAUGAUCAGUAGCCGGCCUGAGAGGGCGCACGGCCACACUGGAACUGAAACACGGUCCAG
This 293-nucleotide ribosomal RNA is filed under the name uncultured bacterium. RNAcentral's name for it is "partial 16S ribosomal RNA". It matches the Rfam family "Bacterial small subunit ribosomal RNA", at positions 44 to 334 of the family's 1533-position model. The record is from RNAcentral.